CGGCGUCACGAGUGGCAAUCACAUUUAUUGGGUCUAAAGCGUUCGUAGCCGGUUAGUAAAUCUUUUGUGAAAUUGUCGGGCUUAACUCGACAGCGUGCAGAAGACACUACUAGACUUGAGACCGGGAGGGGUUAGAAGUAUUUCAGGGGGAGCGGUAAAAUGUUAUAAUCCCUGAAGGACUACCAAUGGCGAAGGCAUCUAACCAGAACGGAUCUGACGGUGAGGAACGAAGGCCAGGGGAGCGAACCGGAUUAGAUACCCGAGUAGUCC
RNAcentral lists this ribosomal RNA (270 nucleotides) under uncultured archaeon. RNAcentral's name for it is "partial 16S ribosomal RNA". It matches the Rfam family "Archaeal small subunit ribosomal RNA", at positions 477 to 747 of the family's 1478-position model. The record is from RNAcentral.